Long non-coding RNA from Gallus gallus (chicken), 370 nucleotides. RefSeq lists it as uncharacterized. The record is from RefSeq and is a predicted model, not a curated record. Lineage: Eukaryota; Metazoa; Chordata; Aves; Galliformes; Phasianidae. The transcript is spliced from 2 exons.
ACAUGCCCGUACGGGACACGGCGAUACAGUUUAAAGGGGCCAAACGAUGAGACAACAGCAGGCGGGGGACCAACAGUGGGGGGGGAGCACUGAUGGAGACGAGGGGGAGUGUCAACUGCGGCGGGGCCAGAGGAGAGGGGAGCUGCAGCAACACCUAUGGGUCGUUUGCUUGCAUACUGUUUACGUUGUUCCAUAGCUGCUGCUCUGAAUAGAUGCUCUUGUAUUCCCACACUGAUUGUUUACUCUCAAGAAGAGGACACUCAGGACACACUGCACCACACUCUACAGCUCCCUGAAGUUAGGUUGUGAUGAGGAGGGCUUUGGCCUCUUCUACCAGGAAACAAACAGUAAUACAGGAAACAGCCACAAA